CCUACGGGAGGCAGCAGUGAGGAAUAUUGGUCAAUGGCCGGAAGGCUGAACCAGCCAAGCCGCGUGAAGGACGAAGGUGCCCAGCAUUGUAAACUUCUUUUGUCAAGGGACAAAAUCAGGCUCGAGAGCCUGACCGAGGGUACUUGAAGAAAAAGCAUCGGCUAACUCCGUCCCAGCAGCCGCGGUAAUACGGAGGAGGCGAGCGUUAUCCGGAUUUAUGGGGUUUAAGGGGUGCGUAGGCGGGCUGUUAAGUCAGCGGUAAAAGCCCGGGGCUCAACCCCGGCUAGCCGUUGAAACUGGCUGUCUUGAGAUGUCGAGAGGUAAGCGGAAUGCGCAGUGUAGCGGUGAAAUGCUUAGAUAUUGCGCAGAACUCCGAUUGCGAAGGCAGCAUACCGGCGGCGAUCUGACGCUGAGGCACGAAAGCGUGGGUAUCGAACAGGAUUAGAUAUCCGGGUAGUC
RNAcentral lists this ribosomal RNA (459 nucleotides) under uncultured bacterium. RNAcentral's name for it is "partial 16S ribosomal RNA". It matches the Rfam family "Bacterial small subunit ribosomal RNA", at positions 338 to 795 of the family's 1533-position model. The record is from RNAcentral.